This 434-nucleotide ribosomal RNA is filed under the name uncultured Lachnospiraceae bacterium. RNAcentral's name for it is "partial 16S ribosomal RNA". It matches the Rfam family "Bacterial small subunit ribosomal RNA", at positions 341 to 792 of the family's 1533-position model. Lineage: Bacteria; Bacillati; Bacillota; Clostridia; Lachnospirales; Lachnospiraceae. The record is from RNAcentral.
ACGGAAGGCAGCAGUGGGGAAUAUUGCACAAUGGGGGAAACCCUGAUGCAGCGACGCCGCGUGAGUGAAGAAGUAUUUCGGUAUGUAAAGCUCUAUCAGCAGGAAAGAAAAUGACGGUACCUGACUAAGAAGCCCCGGCUAACUACGUGCCAGCAGCCGCGGUAAUACGUAGGGGGCAAGCGUUAUCCGGAUUUACUGGGUGUAAAGGGAGCGUAGACGGCUUUGCAAGUCUGAAGUGAAAGCCCGGGGCUCAACCCCGGAACUGCUUUGGAAACUGUAGAGCUAGAGUGCAGGAGAGGUAAGUGGAAUUCCUAGUGUAGCGGUGAAAUGCGUAUAUAUUAGGAGGAACACCAGUGGCGAAGGCGGCUUACUGGACUGUAACUGACGUUGAGGCUCGAAGGCGUGGGGAGCAAACAGGAUUAGAUACCCUGGUA